UUGGACAAUGGGCGCAAGCCUGAUCCAGCCAUGCCGCGUGAGUGAUGAAGGCCUUAGGGUUGUAAAGCUCUUUCGGCGGGGAAGAUAAUGACGGUACCCGCAGAAGAAGCCCCGGCUAACUUCGUGCCAGCAGCCGCGGUAAUACGAAGGGGGCUAGCGUUGCGCGGAAUCACUGGGCGUAAAGCGCACGUAGGCGGCUUACUAAGUCAGGGGUGAAAUCCUGGAGCUCAACUCCAGAACUGUCUGUGAUACUGGUGCGAUUGAGUUCGGGAAGGGUGAGUGGAACUGCGAGCGGAGAGGUGAAAGUCGUAGAUAUUCGCAAGAACACCAGUGGCGAAGGCGGCGCGCUGGCCCGCUACUGACGGUGAGGUGCGAAAGCGUGGGGAGCAAACA
RNAcentral lists this ribosomal RNA (393 nucleotides) under uncultured bacterium. Its description in RNAcentral is "bacterial SSU rRNA". It matches the Rfam family "Bacterial small subunit ribosomal RNA", at positions 364 to 774 of the family's 1533-position model. The record is from RNAcentral.